This 306-nucleotide ribosomal RNA is filed under the name Klebsiella pneumoniae. RNAcentral describes it as "partial 16S ribosomal RNA". It matches the Rfam family "Bacterial small subunit ribosomal RNA", at positions 1238 to 1533 of the family's 1533-position model. The record is from RNAcentral. Lineage: Bacteria; Pseudomonadati; Pseudomonadota; Gammaproteobacteria; Enterobacterales; Enterobacteriaceae.
UACAAAGAGAAGCGACCUCGCGAGAGCAAGCGGACCUCAUAAAGUAUGUCGUAGUCCGGAUUGGAGUCUGCAACUCGACUCCAUGAAGUCGGAAUCGCUAGUAAUCGUAGAUCAGAAUGCUACGGUGAAUACGUUCCCGGGCCUUGUACACACCGCCCGUCACACCAUGGGAGUGGGUUGCAAAAGAAGUAGGUAGCUUAACCUUCGGGAGGGCGCUUACCACUUUGUGAUUCAUGACUGGGGUGAAGUCGUAACAAGGUAACCGUAGGGGAACCUGCGGUUGGAUCACCUCCUUACCUUAAAGAA